Molecule: ribosomal RNA, 437 nt
Filed under: uncultured Oscillospiraceae bacterium
Lineage: Bacteria; Bacillati; Bacillota; Clostridia; Eubacteriales; Oscillospiraceae
Description: bacterial SSU rRNA
Rfam family: Bacterial small subunit ribosomal RNA
Source: RNAcentral
ACGGGAGGCAGCAGUGGGGAAUAUUGGGCAAUGGGCGAAAGCCUGACCCAGCAACGCCGCGUGAAGGCAGACGGUCUUCGGAUUGUAAACUUCUUUUAUGAGGGACGAAGGACGUGACGGUACCUCAUGAAUAAGCCACGGCUAACUACGUGCCAGCAGCCGCGGUAAUACGUAGGUGGCAAGCGUUAUCCGGAUUUACUGGGUGUAAAGGGCGCGUAGGCGGGGAUGCAAGUCAGAUGUGAAAUCUAUUGGCUUAACUCAUAACCUGCAUUUGAAACUGUAUUUCUUGAGUGCUGGAGAGGUAGAUGGAAUUCCUUUUGUAGCGGUGAAAUGCGUAGAUAUAAGGAAGAACACCAGUGGCGAAGGCGAUCUACUGGACAGUAACUGACGCUGAGGCGCGAAAGCGUGGGGAGCAAACAGGAUUAGAUACCCUGGUA